UACAGAGGUCUCAAGCGUUGUUCGGAUUCAUUGGGCGUAAAGAGCGUGUAGGCGGCCAGGUAGGUCGGUUGUGAAAACUGGAGGCUCAACCUUCAGAGGUCGACCGAAACCAUCUGGCUAGAGUCCGGGAGAGGAGAGCGGAAUUCCUGGUGUAGCGGUGAAAUGCGCAGAUAUCAGGAAGAACACCCGUGGCGAAAGCGGCUCUCUGGAACGGUACUGACGCUGAGACGCGAAAGCGUGGGGAGCGAACAGG
RNAcentral lists this ribosomal RNA (253 nucleotides) under uncultured bacterium. RNAcentral describes it as "partial 16S ribosomal RNA". It matches the Rfam family "Bacterial small subunit ribosomal RNA", at positions 524 to 776 of the family's 1533-position model. The record is from RNAcentral.